This 229-nucleotide ribosomal RNA is filed under the name uncultured bacterium. RNAcentral describes it as "partial 16S ribosomal RNA". It matches the Rfam family "Bacterial small subunit ribosomal RNA", at positions 568 to 796 of the family's 1533-position model. The record is from RNAcentral.
GAUGUAGGCGGCUCUUCAAGUCAGAUGUAAAAUCUUCCGGCUCAACUGGAAGGGAACAUUUGAUACUGCUGGGCUGGAGUGCAGCAGAAGGAGAUGGAAUUCCCGGUGUAGUGGUGAAGUGCGUAGAUAUCAGGAGGAACACCGGUGGCGAAGGCGGCUUUCUGGCUCUAUACUGACGCUGAGACGCGAAAGCGUGGGGAGCAAACAGGAUUAGAUACCCUGGUAGUCC